This is a long non-coding RNA of Papaver somniferum (opium poppy), 1814 nucleotides long. RefSeq lists it as uncharacterized. The transcript is spliced from 3 exons. The record is from RefSeq and is a predicted model, not a curated record. Lineage: Eukaryota; Viridiplantae; Streptophyta; Magnoliopsida; Ranunculales; Papaveraceae.
UCAACUCAAUUCGAGAGGAUAACCUUUCAUUUGUUUUUCUUCUUUCUUUUUCUUCUUUUUCUCCUUCGUUCUUCACCUGCUGGUGAAUUGAGUAACUAAAUCAGAGAGUUCGUGACCAAAGAAAGUACGGUAAGAUCAAGUAUUGGUUGAUGGUAGUGGUGUUAGUUUGAUGCAGUUGAUUCUGAUUCGAGGAGAAGGGUGAUUCAGUUGGCAGAACUAGGGUUUUCUAGAAAUUAAAUUAAGAUUCGAAUUGAGUGGUGGUGUAGGAAGAAUUAGAUGGAAUCAGUGGAUGGGUUUAUUAUAUUGAAGUUGUUUAAGGAAGAAAUUGAAGAGAUGAUUGAGGAUUUGAGUAAACAGUGAACUGGGGUUUUUGUGAAAUCAAUUGGUGUUCGUUUUGGUGACGGUUAUGAAGAAAUUGAAGGAUGGGUUUUGAUCAGGUAUGAAAUAGAAAUGUUUCUGUGAAGUUUAAUCUUGAUUUGAAAGGAAAUUAGGUUUUGUGUUCUUCACAAAUUGAAAUUAGGGUUUCAUGAAUUUGAACUUGGAAGAGAUGAAUUUGAAGGUUUAGAAGAUCGAUUAGAGGUGAAUUUAACUCGAACUAAGAAUUAAGGUUGAAGUAUAACUUGAAUUUGUAAGUCAUGGUUUAGAAUUUGAAGUUGAGGUUCUUGUUAUGAAUCCAGGGUCUCAUGUUCUGUUUCAAAUGAAGAGUUAAGAUUCAUGGAUUGAAUAUUAGCUUAAGGAGUUGGAAUUUGUGAAGAGGAAUUAAAAGAGGAAGAUCCCUGAUUCAGAUUAAGGUAGAGAAGAAUUUGAUCCUAAACUGAUUGGGGGAGAAACCAUUUCAAGGUAAUCGUUCUUCUUAGUUCAGUUAGUAAUACUUGUAUAUUUUCAAUUCGAGUUAAUGGAUUAUGAGAUGUUGAUGAAGGUGUUGAAUUUAAAUUUGUUGAUAUACAGGGAGUUGUAUUGAUUUGUGGUUAACUGAACAAGAAAUUGUGUUGGUGAACUGUAUAAGUAUUGCAGGAGGAAUGAAUCCUAUUGUAUGGCUGAAGGUUAAGAUUGGAUUGUAGAUUGUUGAGUUUGAAUUACAAUUGCAGGAACGAGUGGAAUUUAUGAAGUUUGAGGUGGAGUAUAGAAUAAUGGUAAUGGUGGUGGUGGUUUUGUAAGUUACAGAGAAAAUGGAAGUGGUAGAAAUGAUGUUGGUGUUGUACUAGUGAUAAAAGAAUUGGAGUUGGAACUGUAAUUUGAAGUGUCGAUGUACACUGAAAUCUAGUGAACUGAGUAACUGGUUUUACUGAAGCAAGAAGCAUUGAGUGUAUGUGAUAGAUAUGGUGGAAGGCAGAAUUGUAAUGGGGGUAAUUCAGGCAUGAGAUGUGUAGUAGGGAAUAUCUUAUAGCUCCAGUGGAGGCUUGCUACUGCAAUUGCAGUUAGUCUAUAUUAACAACGAUCGAUUCAAAGGAUGAACCAGUGGAUCGUGGAUCUCUAGGUAGGCGUGGCUUGUCAUCAAAAUAGUUUCAGAGACAGAUCAGAGUUGCGCAGCGAAAGCUUCGAGGAGUUGACUCCGUUAAUUAGUUAACUUCUGUUAUGCGUAUUAUGCUAUUUAUUCUAUUUGCAAACAAAAUGACUAUUGUAUAUGUAUCAUUUAAGAGAAGUUCUUGUAUAUAUAUUUCUGAGAGGGAUUAGUUUUGGAUUAAGUUUUGUAGCAGAUUUUUAUUUGAAUGCUUAAGUAUAUGAUUUAGAUUUUUAGCGCCUCUUUGUUUAGCUAAUCUCUUGGAUUAGUCAGCUGCUAGCUUUGGGGGCGCUACAUUGUGAUUCCGCAAUAA